This is a small nuclear RNA of Lynx canadensis (Canada lynx), 107 nucleotides long. Lineage: Eukaryota; Metazoa; Chordata; Mammalia; Carnivora; Felidae. The record is from Ensembl.
GUGCUCGCUUCAGCAGCACAUAUACUAAAAUUGGAAUCAUACAGAGAAGAUUAGCAUGGCUCCUGUGCAAGGAUGAUGUGCAAAUUCAUGAAGCAUUCCAUAUUUUU